RNAcentral lists this ribosomal RNA (496 nucleotides) under uncultured bacterium. Its description in RNAcentral is "partial 16S ribosomal RNA". It matches the Rfam family "Bacterial small subunit ribosomal RNA", at positions 29 to 507 of the family's 1533-position model. The record is from RNAcentral.
AUGAACGCUGGCGGCGUGCCUAAUCCCUGCCAGUCGAGCGAACAGACGAGGAGCUUGCUCCUCUGACGUUAGCGGCGGACGGGUGAGUAACACGUGGAUAACCUACCUAUAAGACUGGGAUAACUUCGGGAAACCGGAGCUAAUACCGGAUAAUAUAUUGAACCGCAUGGUUCAAUAGUGAAAGACGGUUUUGCUGUCACUUAUAGAUGGAUCCGCGCCGCAUUAGCUAGUUGGUAAGGUAACGGCUUACCAAGGCAACGAUGCGUAGCCGACCUGAGAGGGUGAUCGGCCACACUGGAACUGAGACACGGUCCAGACUCCUACGGGAGGCAGCAGUAGGGAAUCUUCCGCAAAGGGCGAAAGCCUGACGGAGCAACGCCGCGUGAGUGAUGAAGGUCUUCGGAUCGUAAAACUCUGUUAUUAGGGAAGAACAAAUGUGUAAGUAACUAUGCACGUCUUGACGGUACCUAAUCAGAAAGCCACGGCUAACUACGUG